GGGGAAUUUUGGACAAUGGGCGCAAGCCUGAUCCAGCCAUGCCGCGUGCAGGAUGAAGGCCUUCGGGUUGUAAACUGCUUUUGUACGGAACGAAAAAGCUCUCUCUAAUACAGGGGGUGAAUGACGGUACCGUAAGAAUAAGCACCGGCUAACUACGUGCCAGCAGCCGCGGUAAUACGUAGGGUGCGAGCGUUAAUCGGAAUUACUGGGCGUAAAGCGUGCGCAGGCGGUUAUGUAAGACAGAUGUGAAAUCCCCGGGCUCAACCUGGGAACUGCAUUUGUGACUGCAUAGCUAGAGUACGGCAGAGGGGGAUGGAAUUCCGCGUGUAGCAGUGAAAUGCGUAGAUAUGCGGAGGAACACCGAUGGCGAAGGCAAUCCCCUGGGCCUGUACUGACGCUCAUGCACGAAAGCGUGGGGAGCAAAC
RNAcentral lists this ribosomal RNA (425 nucleotides) under uncultured bacterium. RNAcentral's name for it is "bacterial SSU rRNA". It matches the Rfam family "Bacterial small subunit ribosomal RNA", at positions 356 to 773 of the family's 1533-position model. The record is from RNAcentral.